GACAGAGGGUGCGAGCGUUAAUCGGAAUUAUUGGGCGUAAAGCGCACGUAGGUGGGCUAGUAAGUUGGAUGUGAAAUCCCUGGGCUUAACCUAGGAACUGCAUUCAAAACUGCUGACCUAGAGUACAGUAGAGGGAAGUGGAAUUUCCGGUGUAGCGGUGAAAUGCGUAGAUAUCGGAAGGAACACCAGUGGCGAAGGCGACUUCCUGGACUGAUACUGACACUGAGGUGCGAAAGCGUGGGUAGCAAACAGG
RNAcentral lists this ribosomal RNA (253 nucleotides) under uncultured bacterium. Its description in RNAcentral is "partial 16S ribosomal RNA". It matches the Rfam family "Bacterial small subunit ribosomal RNA", at positions 524 to 776 of the family's 1533-position model. The record is from RNAcentral.